RNAcentral lists this ribosomal RNA (571 nucleotides) under Bacillus altitudinis. RNAcentral describes it as "bacterial SSU rRNA". It matches the Rfam family "Bacterial small subunit ribosomal RNA", at positions 91 to 648 of the family's 1533-position model. The record is from RNAcentral. Lineage: Bacteria; Bacillati; Bacillota; Bacilli; Caryophanales; Bacillaceae.
GUUAGCGGCGGACGGGUGAGUAACACGUGGGUAACCUGCCUGUAAGACUGGGAUAACUCCGGGAAACCGGAGCUAAUACCGGAUAGUUCCUUGAACCGCAUGGUUCAAGGAUGAAAGACGGUUUCGGCUGUCACUUACAGAUGGACCCGCGGCGCAUUAGCUAGUUGGUGAGGUAACGGCUCACCAAGGCGACGAUGCGUAGCCGACCUGAGAGGGUGAUCGGCCACACUGGGACUGAGACACGGCCCAGACUCCUACGGGAGGCAGCAGUAGGGAAUCUUCCGCAAUGGACGAAAGUCUGACGGAGCAACGCCGCGUGAGUGAUGAAGGUUUUCGGAUCGUAAAGCUCUGUUGUUAGGGAAGAACAAGUGCAAGAGUAACUGCUUGCACCUUGACGGUACCUAACCAGAAAGCCACGGCUAACUACGUGCCAGCAGCCGCGGUAAUACGUAGGUGGCAAGCGUUGUCCGGAAUUAUUGGGCGUAAAGGGCUCGCAGGCGGUUUCUUAAGUCUGAUGUGAAAGCCCCCGGCUCAACCGGGGAGGGUCAUUGGAAACUGGGAAACUUGAGUG